GCCAGGCAAAAAAACCAACACAGCUCCAGGAACAUUAAGGGUUUCAAUGUACUUAAGUAGAGCCUCGAUGAGUUCAAAAGGAGUUUCCUUUUCGUUCAAUUGAGACAUGCUCAACCUUGUUUCUGGACCAUAUUCAUCACCACAGAUCAAGUUGCAAUUUGCAUCAUCAUCCUCACCACCAUCAUCAUCCUUAUCCUUCUUCUUUUUGUCUUUUGGUGGAGGAACAAAGUGGGUCAUCUGAAUGCAGUCUUCCAGAAAAUAUUCUUGAACUGGGUAAGUCCUCCCAUAAACUUCAAUGAUG
This 301-nucleotide long non-coding RNA is filed under the name Homo sapiens (human). RNAcentral's name for it is "LNC_000386". Lineage: Eukaryota; Metazoa; Chordata; Mammalia; Primates; Hominidae. The record is from RNAcentral.